Tachyglossus aculeatus (Australian echidna) is the source of this 767-nucleotide long non-coding RNA. RefSeq lists it as uncharacterized. NCBI's taxonomy places the organism in Eukaryota, Metazoa, Chordata, Mammalia, Monotremata, Tachyglossidae. The transcript is spliced from 3 exons. The record is from RefSeq and is a predicted model, not a curated record.
AGGGUGCCAGCAGCCCCCCACCCAUCUCCUGCCCCUCCUACACACUUCACCGGGGAUUUCUCCUCAGGAGAGACCCCAGGUGCGGGUGGCAGCCCUGGAGCUGCUGGCAUCAGUAGCCAACAGCUGUGUGAUGGAGAGGAAAGCCGGCCUCUGUCAGAAGCUGAUCUGCUGCCUCCUCCCCGUCCUCUUCUACCUGAAUGACGAGCACCCAAUAGUGAUCAAAAAAGCCAGAUAUACAUUCUUCUAGUUGGCCCAGAAAGUCGGCUGGAGGCACUCCAAAGUAGUCGGGUGGAUGUUGAGCUGGGAAGAGAGGGAGAGCACGGCCUACGGUACCAUCUGUGAGGCCUUGAAAUUCAAACUCUAGAAAACGACAGCUCGACCAGGAUUCGCAGAUUCCUGAGAUCCUACAAGAGGAGACUGGCAGAGAACGAUGGCCAGUUCUUCUUCUGAGGGCUCCCAUCCCGUGGGAGAAGAAGAAGCCUAGGAGGGCGAGGUGGCAACAGGACUGUCCUGGGGCUCCAGGUCUGAGGCAAUGGGGGCUGCCUUGCGACGUGCCAUAGGUUCAGGUCUCCGAAGAAUUGAGAGGAUUCCGGCCCCAGACAGCCAUGUGAGAGAAGCAGGUUCAGGGGGCCCGGCCCGCUCCGUCAUCCCCCAUUUUUACUCUGGCCGCCAGCGGGAAGAAGGAGGCCAUGCGGGGGGUGGACUCUAACCCCAGGACUCGGGGACGGGGGGAACUGGACCACGCCAGUGUCAAAACCCUACCUCCU